GUAGCGGCGAGCGAACGGGGAGCAGCCCAGAGCCUGAAUCAGUGUGUGUGUUAGUGGAAGCGUCUGGAAAGGCGCGCGAUACAGGGUGACAGCCCCGUACACAAAAAUGCACAUACUGUGAGCUCGAUGAGUAGGGCGGGACACGUGGUAUCCUGUCUGAAUAUGGGGGGACCAUCCUCCAAGGCUAAAUACUCCUGACUGACCGAUAGUGAACCAGUACCGUGAGGGAAAGGCGAAAAGAACCCCGGCGAGGGGAGUGAAAAAGAACCUGAAACCGUGUACGUACAAGCAGUGGGAGCACGCUUAGGCGUGUGACUGCGUACCUUUUGUAUAAUGGGUCAGCGACUUAUAUUCUGUAGCAAGGUUAACCGAAUAGGGGAGCCGAAGGGAAACCGAGUCUUAACUGGGCGUUAAGUUGCAGGGUAUAGACCCGAAACCCGGUGAUCUAGCCAUGGGCAGGUUGAAGGUUGGGUAACACUAACUGGAGGACCGAACCGACUAAUGUUGAAAAAUUAGCGGAUGACUUGUGGCUGGGGGUGAAAGGCCAAUCAAACCGGGAGAUAGCUGGUUCUCCCCGAAAGCUAUUUAGGUAGCGCCUCGUGAAUUCAUCUCCGGGGGUAGAGCACUGUUUCGGCAAGGGGGUCAUCCCGACUUACCAACCCGAUGCAAACUGCGAAUACCGGAGAAUGUUAUCACGGGAGACACACGGCGGGUGCUAACGUCCGUCGUGAAGAGGGAAACAACCCAGACCGCCAGCUAAGGUCCCAAAGUCAUGGUUAAGUGGGAAACGAUGUGGGAAGGCCCAGACAGCCAGGAUGUUGGCUUAGAAGCAGCCAUCAUUUAAAGAAAGCGUAAUAGCUCACUGGUCGAGUCGGCCUGCGCGGAAGAUGUAACGGGGCUAAACCAUGCACCGAAGCUGCGGCAGCGACGCUGAUGCGUUGUUGGGUAGGGGAGCGUUCUGUAAGCCUGUGAAGGUGUGCUGUGAGGCAUGCUGGAGGUAUCAGAAGUGCGAAUGCUGACAUAAGUAACGAUAAAGCGGGUGAAAAGCCCGCUCGCCGGAAGACCAAGGGUUCCUGUCCAACGUUAAUCGGGGCAGGGUGAGUCGACCCCUAAGGCGAGGCCGAAAGGCGUAGUCGAUGGGAAACAGGUUAAUAUUCCUGUACUUGGUGUUACUGCGAAGGGGGGACGGAGAAGGCUAUGUUGGCCGGGCGACGGUUGUCCCGGUUUAAGCGUGUAGGCUGGUUUUCCAGGCAAAUCCGGAAAAUCAAGGCUGAGGCGUGAUGACGAGGCACUACGGUGCUGAAGCAACAAAUGCCCUGCUUCCAGGAAAAGCCUCUAAGCAUCAGGUAACAUCAAAUCGUACCCCAAACCGACACAGGUGGUCAGGUAGAGAAUACCAAGGCGCUUGAGAGAACUCGGGUGAAGGAACUAGGCAAAAUGGUGCCGUAACUUCGGGAGAAGG
RNAcentral lists this ribosomal RNA (1462 nucleotides) under Escherichia coli. RNAcentral's name for it is "partial 23S ribosomal RNA". It matches the Rfam family "Bacterial large subunit ribosomal RNA", at positions 243 to 1746 of the family's 2925-position model. Lineage: Bacteria; Pseudomonadati; Pseudomonadota; Gammaproteobacteria; Enterobacterales; Enterobacteriaceae. The record is from RNAcentral.